RNAcentral lists this ribosomal RNA (1000 nucleotides) under Fissuroma maculans. RNAcentral describes it as "SSU rRNA". It matches the Rfam family "Eukaryotic small subunit ribosomal RNA", at positions 112 to 1120 of the family's 1831-position model. Lineage: Eukaryota; Fungi; Ascomycota; Dothideomycetes; Pleosporales; Aigialaceae. The record is from RNAcentral.
AUCGUUUAUUUGAUAGUACCUUACUACUUGGAUAACCGUGGUAAUUCUAGAGCUAAUACAUGCUAAAAACCCCGACUUCGGGAGGGGUGUAUUUAUUAGAUAAAAAACCAAUGCCCUUCGGGGCUCUUUGGUGAUUCAUGAUAACUUAACGGAUCGCAUGGCCUUGCGCCGGCGACGGUUCAUUCAAAUUUCUGCCCUAUCAACUUUCGAUGGUAAGGUAUUGGCUUACCAUGGUCUCAACGGGUAACGGGGAAUUAGGGUUCGAUUCCGGAGAGGGAGCCUGAGAAACGGCUACCACAUCCAAGGAAGGCAGCAGGCGCGCAAAUUACCCAAUCCCGACACGGGGAGGUAGUGACAAUAAAUACUGAUACAGGGCUCUUUUGGGUCUUGUAAUUGGAAUGAGUACAAUUUAAACCCCUUAACGAGGAACAAUUGGAGGGCAAGUCUGGUGCCAGCAGCCGCGGUAAUUCCAGCUCCAAUAGCGUAUAUUAAAGUUGUUGCAGUUAAAAAGCUCGUAGUUGAACCUUGGGCCUGGCUGGCCGGUCCGCCUCACCGCGUGCACUGGUCCGGCCGGGCCUUUCCUUCUGGAGAGCCCCAUGCCCUUCACUGGGUGUGCGGGGGAACCAGGACUUUUACUUUGAAAAAAUUAGAGUGUUCAAAGCAGGCCUUUGCUCGAAUACAUUAGCAUGGAAUAAUAAAAUAGGACGUGCGGUCCUAUUUUGUUGGUUUCUAGGACCGCCGUAAUGAUUAAUAGGGAUAGUCGGGGGCAUCCGUAUUCAAUUGUCAGAGGUGAAAUUCUUGGAUUUAUUGAAGACGAACUACUGCGAAAGCAUUUGCCAAGGAUGUUUUCAUUAAUCAGUGAACGAAAGUUAGGGGAUCGAAGACGAUCAGAUACCGUCGUAGUCUUAACCGUAAACUAUGCCGACUAGGGAUCGGGCGAUGUUACUAUUUUGACUCGCUCGGCACCUUACGAGAAAUCAAAGUUUUUGGGUUCUGGGGG